Calidris pugnax (ruff) is the source of this 6643-nucleotide long non-coding RNA. RefSeq lists it as uncharacterized. NCBI's taxonomy places the organism in Eukaryota, Metazoa, Chordata, Aves, Charadriiformes, Scolopacidae. The record is from RefSeq and is a predicted model, not a curated record. The transcript is spliced from 7 exons.
CUAGUCACUGUUGAAUUUUCAAUGGGAAAACUGAAGAGUUCAAGGAAGAGCAGAAAUACUAGAAACAUCAGUGACCUGUAAUAAAGGAAGAGGUGUGACCCAUCAGCUGACCCUGGCUCCCAAACCAACAAGGAUAAGCAAGAGCCUCUCUCACUGAACAGAAAGCCGGCUUUGCUCCGCGACAGACCAGGAUAGCCAAGAUGCUGAACAAGCCACCACUGGAAGAAUUUUAUUUAAAAUUUUGGUAGAUUCUCUAUCAGCAACUUAAAAACCAAAAAGGGUGAAGAUCUUUCUACCACGUGUCUUUUACUACAGAGAUACAGCAGGUCAGGACAAUGCAUACCUCAGGGCUGGGUUUCCUUCCUUGACUACUUGGGUAUAAUACCAAAAUACAAGAUUAACUGUUAUUUGUGGCCAUGACUCUGUGGUAAGAACUGAUGCUCAAAAGCCACAUUAGGUUCUUUUAUUUAUGUCUCUGUGGCAGCUCAUCUGAGGAAACCUGUUUGGAUGUAUUUUUUAAGCUAUUUUAGGAUCCAAGAUUUUGUUUCUAGAUAAUAGACAAAGGAAAAUGCCUUUUUGUUGGGUGAUGAACAUUUCCCUCUCGUGGGAAAAUAAGCUUUCCUUUCCUGUGCCUGUCCCUGUUAUGAAAUAGAGAAGGUACCAGCCGAAGACUGUGCUGAAGUGAAAUUCAGUGUGAGACCACUCCCAUCACUAUAAAGCAUUCAAGAUAGCUCAAGCCCAUCUAUUGCAAUGGAGCCCGAGUGAAAGAUGAGUUCACAGACUUUUAUAUUCACUCCAGCAAUCUGAGUUUUUCAUUUCUGUCCUCUGCGUGCAAAUUGAGCAGCAAGCAAAAUAAAAACUAAUUAAAUCAUGUGAUUAUAUAUUGUUUAUCCUUAGAGAAUAGAUUAUAAAAAAUGAAAAUAAAUUAUGUGAAGAUGCAGUCUGAAUAAUAAUAAAGUAGUAUAGUUUUUGGCUGCCAGUAGCCAGCUACCAGCUGAGUCAAGAUGCACCCUCAUCUCCUGCUUGCUGCCUUUGAACAGCAGUUAUGGAUUAAGUCUGACAGUGUGAAAAUAAAUGGGAGAGUGUAACUGAAGCCAAGCAUUUAUCAAGCCUGGUUGUAUUCUAUGCAAGGCAAGGCUGAUACAAUUUAAUAAGAUAACAGAAAACUUGACGCUGUCUUCAGGAUGUCAAAACAUGGAUUUAUGCCCUGUGCCAAUGCUACUACUGUUAACUUGAUGAAUUUUAAGCUAUUGCAGGUUUUGGGUUUAGCAUCCAUAAGUCAGUGGUGCAAUAGGAACAGUUUUCAGAUACUGAAUUCAGAACUGACUGCCUGUGUGUCUGUAUGGCACUAGUGUUCAAAUGGUAAGUUACCAUAAAAUGGAGGGAAGAACUGGAGUAAGCAUUGGGAUAACAGGUCUUCUGUCUCAUUAUAUGUUAUACUGCACUUUUCAUUCUCCAAAUGCUUCGUUGCAAGAAGUUUAGGAACUAAACCUGUGUAUGCAGGAAGAGAGAGACCAACAGUAAACUAACAGAACAUUUGCUCUUUUUUGUUGACCUUUUGAAAUUGGAGACAUCUGCCAUAUACCCUCGUUUCUCAGUUUCUCAUUAACUUUGAACUGAGCAAACCUGGGGUGCCUUAAUCAACAGUAAGAUUAUUUUUCUAUCCCUCCUGCCUUGUGAGUUUGGUGAGUUUUUGUUGAGGAACCUGGUAAACCUUCCCAGCAAAGUACAUAUGGGCCUGGCUGCUGCCAGGAGCAUUUCUCUCCAAUGAGAGAAAACUAAACAAUUGCAGGUGGGUUUUUGUCCCUUCUGUGUAAUAAAUACUAUCAAGAUAUCAAGUCAUGAGUUAAGGUAACCUUUUGGACUACAUAGAGAGAAUCCCCACAGUCCCUCAAUGGCUAUUUAUCAUUCUUUUCAAGAGUGAUUUUGACCCAAAUGGAUUGUUUUCUUGUGCUACUCUAUCUUUAUGCCCUAGUCCAUCUUUAGCAUACGCUACGGCACUAUCUGUUCUUGAGAGUGCAAGGACUUUGAUAAAUGUACUCAGUCAUCACUGCUUUUUCAUACUAGGUAUCUAUUGAUUCUUAUAAUAUCAACUUUCAUGACUUGCAUCAUUUGUUAAAAUUUCUCCAUUUAGUUUUAAAGGCCGUCUACAUUGAUACACAAGCAAUUGAGGUUUUUCUCACUAGUUUCUUUCAGCAUUCUUUACAGCUGCUUUUAUCGAUUGUAUCUGCCUCAGUUCAGGAAGGACAUGCCCCAGUUACUCCGGCUGUUCACUGAAGUACCACAGGACUGGGUCCAAAGCUUCUCCAGGGUCAGGCCUCUUCACUGAGCAGAGGGAAAUGGAGUAAGUAGGUGAUAUUCCUGAGCCCAAUUUUCAGAUACCCCGUGGAAUAGGAGGCUAUGUUUAAUAUAGAGAAGUCAGUAAGUACUUUUUGUCAGAGAGGAAAGGAAUGGCUUUGCCUUGAUCUAUUUCAGAGAUGAUCAAAGAACAGAUUAAAAGGCCUGAAAGCUCUGUUCAGCCAUCAUUCAUCUGUGUGCUGGAUAACAGCGCUGCCACUCUCAAAGAGGUAGAUGGGGAGCUCAACUCAGAGCGGCUUUUUUCCACUGUGAUAAUACCGUUCCCCCCACCCUUCACACGUUUUCAUAACUCCAUGCAUAAAAGCUAAUUGAAUUUAUCUGUAAAUGAAAUAGGUGUCAACUAAUAGGUGUAUAACUUCCAUCAAAUAUAAGAACUGCUUUCUUGAUGGGGUGAAGGCUCUUCUUCACACGUACACUGGGAUGGACAUAAGAGGGAUAAGGAACAAGGAAGAUUCUCAGUGAAAUAAAAUGGAUGCAGUGUUGCUGCAUAGCUUGUCCUGCAGCCAAACAAAAGCAGUUCAAGUCUUAAGCAGCAAAGAGCAGCCUACUGUUGGAAGCCCAUCGGAGAAAUUAUUUGGAAGCCAGCAUUACAAAGAGUAACAUUCAGUCCUACCUUUAUCAUGUUCAAGAAUAGGACAGUUGAGCAGCUAUUCUUCAUGCAGGCACCGCACCUUCCGUUUAGGUCAUCUGUUCUUUGGUUGACUUAUUGGCUUAAAGUCCUGCUAGCCCCUGAUUAAAAUUACUAGAACAUGAUCUUCCAGUACUAGUUCAUAUAAUAAAUUGCCCAUAAUAAAAUGGUGUUUUUUACCACCAACUAUUGUGCCGAUUGCUUCUCUGGACUUUGAUGCAUAAGGCAUGAGGCUAUUGCUAAGAUCUAUUUUAAUCAAAGGAAAUGAAAAUUUUACUAUUGUUAAAUGCAUUUUUUUAUUAAUUUACAGAAAUAUUCCUAAUUAUUAAGAAGUUAGGUCAGGUCUUCCACUUUAUUACUGAAGUACCAAUGCCUGUUGCUGACAACCCUCUUUUCUUUGUUACAUUUAUGCAGGUCCCAGAUGCAUUUAUCGUUUCAUCAAAAAAUUGGUUUUCCAAAACAAGUUAAAAAAGGGAACGUCACAGAUACUAAUUCAGUUGCGUUGCAGUGAGAGAAAGACAAUAAAAACUAAUGAGAUUUACAAUAGAAACUUUUUCAUAAGUUCAGCACUGUCUCCCUGUGCAUUUAUUAUCCUGUGGUUGGAAAAGCACUUCUCCAAAGCAGAGUUUUCACUUUUGGUGAAGAAACUUUUCCAAAAGAAAUCUGUAAAAGCCGUGAGGAGACCAAAGCUGACAAAGGGUGAGGGCAGUAAGUGGUGAAUAGCGGCAAUGCAUUUCUCCAGAAGAGAAGUGAAGUGCAGACAAACCAAGAGGCUCAUCUUACUCAGUGCAGUGCAAUACUUUGGCAGUAAAGAACAAGCUGAAUGAGGUCUUUUUUCCCUGAAUGGCACCAAUUAUAGUAGGAUAAAAACCGAAAUACAUUCUAUUAACAGCAUUUUCUUUUCUCUUUGUAACCAUAUUAAAGGAGCCAAAUCCUUCUAAUUUGGCUUGGGCUAAUCUUUAUGUACUUCAUUUUAGUUUAAAGGAACCCCAAGUUUGGUUCACUGGGAUCAUAGGCUAAACACAAAGCUGAAUAUAGACAGUCCACAGUUUUGAAGAAAAAUUACUUAACUAUAUGUUGUUCUCUCUCAAAUUUUUAAAAGCAUAUUUCUUUAUUGUGUGAGAGUACUAUCUAUCCUGCCUGAAGUUCUUUUUUCUUUCUACACAAGAUCUCUUCAUAAAAAAUCAAUAUAGUCAAAGUUAUACCUCUCCUGGUAAAACUAUGACAAAAGCUUUUGACAGGAAACAGGUAAGUUAAGAAACAGGAAGGCUCGGGGAGAAGUAGGAGUUGGUGGGGCUCCAGUGACGAUGUCAUGGAGCAGGUUCACUUGUUAACUGGUUAAAAUACUCUGUAUUUUCAGGUCACAGAUCAGAAACCUGUAACCACCUUAGAGAACCAAGACAGGUCUUAGAAGAAACAAAGAAUUCGAUGAAGGAUGUUGUAAUGACAACGUAGUCCUGUGUGCUGUAUCCAAGCCAGUGAAGGAAUGAAUGCAGUCUGAUGCGUAAUUCAGGGUAACAGUCAACAUUACAGAAGUUGAAUGACAAAUUGGAACUGCACAGGAUGGAACAGUAGCCAACACUGAACAUUGUGAAGGGAUCAAAUAUUGUAUGAGAUAAUUAUCUGAACAGUUUUCAGGAAUCCAUGCAAAUGAAGAUAGGUAACCUUCCUUCUCAUGAUUAGCGAUUUCAAAGCGAUGUUCUGUCUGUUUGGGGUUUUUUCCUGCUCUGAAUGCAAACCCAACAACCACAUUGUGCACAGUUCAGAUAAUUUUACUUCACAUUGACUUUUAAUGGGAUUUUAGUCCCAGGAACCAGAUUAAAGCUGGUGCUCUACCACAUGAAGCAAAGCACAGUAAGUGGGGAAACCUAAGUUCAUACAUAUAUGUUUCUUAAGAUUGAAGUACCUAAAUUAAUAAACAUCUUUAGAUAAAGGAAACCAAGUAAUGAUGAUAUUGAGAUCCUGAGCUACAGAGAAUCACUGAAUUCCACGGUUAGUCUGUAUUUGAAAAGGUUAUCUUCUGUUUAUUCCUUUACAAAGCUGUCUGAAUAAUCCGGUUUUAAAGGUAGCAUUCUAAAUUACAGUACCAAUUUUAUAUUUAUUUAAAAUUAUUUCAAAAUAGAUUUAAACUGUAAUUGCUUGGUCUUGCUUUUGAAUGUCUUAAUAAGAGUAUUAUUAUUUGUUUGUACUACAGCAUACAGGGGGCGGGGAAUCUAUUGUGCUAGUCACCGCAAUAACCAGGAAGAAAAAAACAUCCAAGGUUGCAUACUGAAUACAAACCAGUUCUUGGUAUGUGCAGAAUUCCAAGGAAUACCUUAUUUCCUAGAAUGGGUACACUCUGUACACCCACAGUCUUACUUUUGCUGAUUUUGUUGUGGUAACAAAAGUCUCCUAAAGUGGGACUCACAGGAAAAUAACAAAAGAUGCACCUGUUUGGGGCUUGUUCGUUUGGAGGAGAUAAAAUCCCUUUGUGUGUUUUUCAGCCAAGUGGAAGCUAUGAAGAGGGAGCAAGCAGCACAUAAACAAAAGAAUUAGCUUAAAGAAAAAAACCCCACCCAAACAUAGGAUUGCAGACUCACCAUUUUUUCGCCGAGAGGAUCAUAAAUUAUUGAAAGUUUCUUCAUCUUCAGAAUGCCCAGAUGAACGUGCUGAAAUAUUCAGAGGCUAGAACCCAAGACAAUAUACAGACAGCAACCUGUACACAACAUGGAAAAAAUAACAAGCAGCCGGUGCUCUAACAGCAAAAUCAACAUUCUUGUUAGUCUGAUGACUAUUAUGAGCAAGCCAAAAUCCAGCAGUACCCCAUCAGAAAAAGAGUCCGUUAUUUCUCAAAUAUCAAUGACACAGGGUGAGGGGGUGUCAGGGGGUGGUGUGUACCUCUUGAACCUAAAAAGAAAGAAAUAUUCAAGUGGAAGCUCUUCAGCUUUUUUCCUUUCUUUAGUAGGCUUUUCAGCAUACAUUAGUUAUUUGAAUUCAGGUGCCUGUCCAAAGAUGGGCUGCAAAUACAUUAAUCCAGCAGGACAUGGAAAAUUAAUCUUGGUCAUAAAUCAGUAUUGUCACUAUAGUCCAGAUAGUCAAGAUAUGGGUAUGCAGCUCAGCUCGCUGUGCACACGAAUGACAAUGUAUCACAGCAUUUUGUGUUUGCAUGUUUCCAAGUUGAGUUGUGUGUCACACCUUUCUGCAUGGUUACGUGAAAUGGGUUUAGAGGUACCCGUGCAUUCAGGUGGAGAGGAAGUCACCAGAAUGUAGCUGAGGAGUAAGUACUAGUUGAGAGACAGUAGAGGCCUUCCAAGGUCUGAUAACCUCUGGAGACUAAUGAGUCUGGCUGAACUUGCAAAAAUGGCUAAAACGUCAGAAGUCUGCUGAAUUUGUCCAAAGCCACCAGUACACACUAGCAUCAAUAACUGGCCCUAUCACAUGGACCACAUCCAAGAUGGUGGUGGCUGCUGUAUUCACACAAAGAUGCCAAUAUCAUAUAUACACACCUGAGCACCUUCUGCACUCGCCAGCAGCCGUUGGUGUCACCGUGACUCCCAGCUUUGCUCCAGCUAUCUAAGCCUGACUUACCUCAUGGGAGCGUCUACAAGUGAACUGUUUGGGGAGUAACCAGAUGUAUAGUUACCUGUAAUUAAUAAAAAGGCUUAAUUCUACUAAUAA